AUCAUCUUUGCUCUCUCCAUCCUUGUUUCCCCAGAUUUUGGAGAUUGUUGACUAUUAUGUAACAGAUGGCCUGACAGACCUCCGACUCUUUGCGGUGAUGGCUAGCUUGGCGCAGAAAAUAGCAGCACUGCAGCAGAGUAUAAAUGAGCAAGGGGUUUUAUAUCAGCAGAAGAGAAAUCUGACAGAUACAUGGAUGGGGUGCCCUCAAGCUUCCAUCUGCCUUGUGGAAAACCCAACAGAAUAUGUCAUGGAAAAUUCCAGGGAAUUGUAAAAUCAGUGAGUAUCUCCUGAAGAAUGCAAGGUGUCUGACUGUUUUCACUUUGUC
Long non-coding RNA from Columba livia (rock pigeon), 325 nucleotides. RefSeq lists it as uncharacterized. The transcript has 3 exons. The record is from RefSeq and is a predicted model, not a curated record. Lineage: Eukaryota; Metazoa; Chordata; Aves; Columbiformes; Columbidae.